CCAUGCAGUCGAACGGCAGCACGGGAGCAAUCCUGGUGGCGAGUGGCGAACGGGUGAGUAAUACAUCGGAACGUGUCCUGGAGUGGGGGAUAGCCCGGCGAAAGCCGGAUUAAUACCGCAUACGCUCUGUGGAGGAAAGCGGGGGAUCUUUCGGGACCUCGCGCUCAAGGGGCGGCCGAUGGCAGAUUAGCUAGUUGGUGGGGUAAAGGCCUACCAAGGCGACGAUCUGUAGCUGGUCUGAGAGGACGACCAGCCACACUGGGACUGAGACACGGCCCAGACUCCUACGGGAGGCAGCAGUGGGGAAUUUUGGACAAUGGGCGCAAGCCUGAUCCAGCAAUGCCGCGUGUGUGAAGAAGGCCUUCGGGUUGUAAAGCACUUUUGUCCGGAAAGAAAACCUCUGGGUUAAUACCCCGGGGGGAUGACGGUACCGGAAGAAUAAGCACCGGCUAACUACGUGCCAGCAGCCGCGGUAAUACGUAGGGUGCGAGCGUUAAUCGGAAUUACUGGGCGUAAAGCGUGCGCAGGCGGUUCGUUAAGACAGAUGUGAAAUCCCCGGGCUUAACCUGGGAACUGCAUUUGUGACUGGCGGGCUAGAGUAUGGCAGAGGGGGGUAGAAUUCCACGUGUAGCAGUGAAAUGCGUAGAGAUGUGGAGGAAUACCGAUGGCGAAGGCAGCCCCCUGGGCCAAUACUGACGCUCAUGCACGAAAGCGUGGGGAGCAAACAGGAUUAGAUACCCUGGUAGUCCACGCCCUAAACGAUGUCAACUAGUUGUUGGGGAUUCAUUUCCUUAGUAACGUAGCUAACGCGUGAAGUUGACCGCCUGGGGAGUACGGUCGCAAGAUUAAAACUCAAUGAAA
This 861-nucleotide ribosomal RNA is filed under the name bacterium E4B1aut. RNAcentral's name for it is "bacterial SSU rRNA". It matches the Rfam family "Bacterial small subunit ribosomal RNA", at positions 53 to 909 of the family's 1533-position model. The record is from RNAcentral.